RNAcentral lists this ribosomal RNA (225 nucleotides) under uncultured Vogesella sp. RNAcentral describes it as "partial 16S ribosomal RNA". It matches the Rfam family "Bacterial small subunit ribosomal RNA", at positions 568 to 792 of the family's 1533-position model. The record is from RNAcentral. Lineage: Bacteria; Pseudomonadati; Pseudomonadota; Betaproteobacteria; Neisseriales; Chromobacteriaceae.
CGCGUAGGUGGUUUGUUAAGUUGGAUGUGAAAUCCCCGAGCUCAACUUGGGAACUGCGUUUGGAACUGUCAGACUAGAGUGCGUCAGAGGGGGGUGGAAUUCCGCGUGUAGCAGUGAAAUGCGUAGAGAUGCGGAGGAACACCGAUGGCGAAGGCAGCCCCCUGGGAUGACACUGACGCUCAUGCACGAAAGCGUGGGGAGCAAACAGGAUUAGAUACCCCAGUA